RNAcentral lists this long non-coding RNA (1039 nucleotides) under Oncorhynchus kisutch (coho salmon). Its description in RNAcentral is "lncRNA (ENSOKIG00005005282.1)". Lineage: Eukaryota; Metazoa; Chordata; Actinopteri; Salmoniformes; Salmonidae. The record is from RNAcentral.
GAGGUCAUUAUAUAAACAUCCUUCAUUUUCCGAGUCUGUACUCUAAUUAUAAUGUAGGCUGAUCAAUGUGGGAGGAGCUAUAGGAGGGCAGGCAGGCUCAUUAUUAUGGCUGUUUUUAGACUCAAUCAGGCAACGCAGUUUUAUUCCCCUGUUUUUUUAGUGUAAUACUUUUUGAAUCACUUCAGUAUGAUAAAACAACCUGUAGGUCGAAACUUUUGCAGUUAAGUGUAACACCUAUCAGGCCCCCGAGGACUGGAAUUACCCAGGCCUGCCGGGUUUAGGGUAGGGACGUCACACGGAUCCAAGAUAGCACUGACCGUCUCAGCUAUUGGCAACUGUAAUCAAGGGCGAGAUGAGCCCUGUAUACACAUCAAUCAAAUAUUGGUGGACACAUAGAGAUAGAACAACUGUUCUGUUAUCUACGGAUGGCCAUUAGUGGCCAUUACCACUGAUGAUGACGAAGAUGAUGAAGUAGACCUAUUGUGCUGUUUCAGAGCUUGCAUAUGCGUCUGCUGGUUAGUUUUCAAGAGUUGUUUACACUGUAAUCAGACCUGCAGCAGAGUUGUACAAGUAGUGGGACCCAACUCACUGGAUGAGAGUCUACUGUACAGCAUCUCCACCCAGACUUUAACAACAAAGACAAAGGGAAGGCCAGCUUCUUAUUCAUCAACACAUUCAGAUAGACGUUCAUUAUUGGGAAAGAAACCAGAGAGGGAGAGAGAGAGAGAGAGGAUAGUUCCACCUGCUUGGCCUAUCAUUUUAAAGGUAAGCCAUGGCUGAUCGUCUUUUCACAGAGGGAAUGAACAAUUGAUUAGCUUUGUUUGACAUAUAGAGUUACUCAGCUGUGAACUGUAUCUGUGUCUUCCCCUUUGAUUGUGUUAGCCCUGUGCUGGGCUCCAGAGGGGCGCGCCACCGGGGUGGAGCCGCUGCUGAAGUUCACCUGAUACAACUUUGAUCUUCACCAGCGGGGGUGGAGAUGAUUUUAUUUAAGGUGUCUCAGCAUCUCCGUGGCAUUGCGCUGUGUGAGGUACACAGUGAA